This 301-nucleotide ribosomal RNA is filed under the name uncultured bacterium. RNAcentral describes it as "partial 16S ribosomal RNA". It matches the Rfam family "Bacterial small subunit ribosomal RNA", at positions 509 to 807 of the family's 1533-position model. The record is from RNAcentral.
CAGUCGCCGCGGGAAUACGAAGGGGGCUAGCGUUGUUCGGAAUUACUGGGCGUAAAGGGCGCGUAGGCGGCCAUUCAAGUUAGAUGUGAAAGCCCUGGGCUCAACCUAGGAAUUGCAUUUGAUACUGUUUGGCUUGAGUUCGGGAGAGGUGAGUGGAAUUCCCAGUGUAGAGGUGAAAUUCGUAGAUAUUGGGAAGAACACCGGUGGCGAAGGCGGCAACCUGGUCCUUGACUGACGCUGAGGCGCGAAAGCGUGGGGAGCAAACAGGAUUAGAUACCCCCGUAGUCCCUGUCUCUUAUAC